UCAAAGGUGUAACCUGCCCAAUGAUCUUAAACUUAAAAAAUAUAACUAUUUUUAAAAAGAUUUAAAGGACGCAGUAUCCUGACUGUGAUAAUGUAGCAUAAUCAUUCGCCAUUUAAUUGAUGGAUAGUAUGAAUGGUUGAACGAAUUCUUCACUGUCUUAAAAAAAGAAAUAAUGAAAUUUAAAUAAUAGUAAAGAUGCUAUUUAAAAUUGUAAGACGAAAAGACCCUAUAGAGCUUAACUAUAAGUUCUUUUAGUUAAAAGAACAUAAUUCUCAAAAUAAAGAACUUGGUAGUUUAGUUGGGGCGACUAUCUUCUAAUAUUAACGAAGACAAGCAAAAUUAAUAUAUAAUUUAUUGUAUAACCUAUAAGUUUAACAAUUACAAAAGUAGGCAUAAUGACCCGUUUUCAUUUAGUAAUUAAAGAAAACGAUCAAUAAAUAAAAGCUACCUUAGGGAUAACAGGAUAAUUUUGUUUUAGAGAUCCUAUCGAAAACAAAGUUUGUCACCUCUAUGUUGAAUUAAGAUAUCCUAGUAAUGCAGAAGUUACUAAAGGUAGGUCUGUUC
This 564-nucleotide ribosomal RNA is filed under the name Hydractinia polyclina. Its description in RNAcentral is "partial 16S ribosomal RNA". It matches the Rfam family "Bacterial large subunit ribosomal RNA", at positions 1846 to 2582 of the family's 2925-position model. Lineage: Eukaryota; Metazoa; Cnidaria; Hydrozoa; Anthoathecata; Hydractiniidae. The record is from RNAcentral.